Molecule: unclassified non-coding RNA, 148 nt
Organism: Pongo abelii (Sumatran orangutan)
Lineage: Eukaryota; Metazoa; Chordata; Mammalia; Primates; Hominidae
Rfam family: Metazoan signal recognition particle RNA
About the family: The signal recognition particle (SRP) is a universally conserved ribonucleoprotein. It is involved in the co-translational targeting of proteins to membranes.
Source: Ensembl
GCCGAGCAAGGUGGCACAUGCUUGUAGUCUCAGCUACUCAGGAGGCUGAGGCAGGAGGAUUGUUUGAGCCCAGGAGAUUGAGGCUGCAGUGAGCAGUGAUCACACCACUGCACUCCAGCCUGGGCAACAAAGCAAGACCCUGUCUUUA